CAUGUAGGCGGUUUGAUAAAUUAGAAGUGAAAUGCCUGGGCUUAACCCGGGAAUUGCUUUUAAGACUGCCAGACUUGAAUCCGUGAGAGGACAGUGGAAUUCCCAGUGUAGAGGUGAAAUUCGUAGAUAUUGGGAAGAACACCAGUAGCGAAGGCGACUGUCUGGUGCGGUAUUGACGCUGAGAUGCGAAAGCGUGGGGAGCAAACA
This 207-nucleotide ribosomal RNA is filed under the name uncultured bacterium. RNAcentral's name for it is "partial 16S ribosomal RNA". It matches the Rfam family "Bacterial small subunit ribosomal RNA", at positions 568 to 774 of the family's 1533-position model. The record is from RNAcentral.